RNAcentral lists this long non-coding RNA (19713 nucleotides) under Brachypodium distachyon (stiff brome). Its description in RNAcentral is "long non-coding RNA (BDIS_LNC003758)". Lineage: Eukaryota; Viridiplantae; Streptophyta; Magnoliopsida; Poales; Poaceae. The record is from RNAcentral.
CAAACAAAAACAAAGGUACAGGGGCCGCGGGGUAGGGAGCUUACAUCGGAGGAGUUGGAGAUGAGCUCGCGGAGGAAGAUCUCCUUGUUGGAGUAGAAGGUGUUGAUGAUGAGCGAGAGCAACUGGUUGAUCUCCGCCUGGAAGGCAAAGGUCUCCGUCUCCGAGGCCAUGGCGCCGGAACCCGAGGGGAAGAAGACGGCGGCUAGGGUUUUUGAGCGGGUACCAGGGUUGCUGUAAGGCUAGGUCAGAGAGGGGAUGCGUGGGGGAGCGGAUUUAUAGUGAGGGGAGGGGUUCUGGAACGUUCUAUGCCACGCGAUGCAAUGGGGAGACGACGCGCGAGGUCAGGGUCAAGUUGACUAGUCGUUGGGCCCGAGUUCCUGUGGCCCACAUGUCAGUUAGAUAGUCUAAGUUGCUCUCCAGAAGCUUCUACGUUUUGUCUAUGAAUGAGUCAACGAUGAAAUGGGAAUGAAUUCAUUUCUUAUGCACAAUUUUCACAAUUUAGCAAACCAACGUGAUUUAAAUCUCUCUCAUGUAACAUACUACGAGACAAUUCAUUGAGAAUGUUGUUUAAGUUCAAAAUUGCGCUAAAUCAAUGCCAAUAAUUUAGGAUCGGAGGGAGUACUACCGUUGUUCAAACUAUAAGAUUUUAUAAUUUUGUCUUAAAUCAAACUUCUUCAAAUUUAUAUAAAACUACCGAUGUCUACAACUCUAAGUUAAUGUUAUUAAAUUCCCUAUAAAUCUUUAUAUACUUAUUUGAUAUUUUAGAUAUUGGUGUAUUUUUAUAGCGUUGGUCAAAUUUUAACGAGCGAAUUCAAAUUUUGCCCCAUGUUUGGUAAUUGUCAAAUGUUUACCCCGUUAUUUAAUUUUGUGCUAUAUUUUUAUCCUCUAUUUGUAAAUAUGAGUCCGUUUUUACCCAUCUAACCAAUUUGCCUGGUUUUUGACAUGUUGUACCACCUGUUGCUGUUGGGGUGACAUGGCUAGUCAAUGCCUAACAUGUUGAAAGCCUACUUUGGUAUGGCACUUUCUCCCUCUCCUUAACCGCCCCGGUUACCAACACCAACUCAUUUUCUCCAUGUUUUUUUUCUUAUAGUUAGGUCAUAGUUUUUGAGAAUUUCAAAUCUUCUACUCCCUCCGUACAACAAAAGAUGUCUCAAGUUUAUCAAAAUUUGGAUGUAUCUAGACAUGACUUAGGGAGCGUUUGGUUUCUUCGCUCAGUUGGCCCGUUGCUGAGCUAGCUCACCUAUCAUGGCUGGGCAUUGCUAGUUUUCCUGUGUCUUGCCAUUUGGUUGUUUGCUUUUGAGUUGACCAGAUUGUGGUUUCCGUGAGGAUCAGGCAGUUUUUCUUCUUGGGACCGCUUCUUGUCGUCGGAGGCGAGCCGAUCUGGCUCUCCCUUGCGGGCAAGGAAUUUCUGGCCCGUUUGAGCUAGCUUGCCUCCAAAAGUCAGGAUAAAUUGACAGAUCCAAACGUUGGGCCUUGCUGGGCUAGGCUAAUUGAGCUUUUGCCUGGGAACCAAACGAACCCUUAGUGUAUAGAUGCAUUCAAAUUUAGUCAAAGUUGAGACAUCUUUUGUUGGACGGAGGAAGUAUGAGUUUUUUUUGUCAAAUGUAAAAAAAUCAAAAUGUUGUUUCUCAAAAAGUUCAGAAAUUGUUGUAAAAUUUAAUGGAAAAAACUUUUUUUUGUGACCUAGCUAAAAUACAAGUCCAUUGCUUUAGGUUUUAGCACAUUUAGAGCACUGCAAUUCAUUAUCAUGUCCAUGGUACAAAACGCUUUUUUAUUUUAAUACAUUGAGGAUAGAACAGGCUCGUGUUGAAUACACGAUCAUUUACAUUUGUAACUUAAAAAAAAAUCUUUGAACUAUUGUAUAAUCUUUGAUGUUCAUCUCUCGAGCACAUGCUCCCGUUAGCUUUUGUGCCUCUCUGUCAUAUCUUGUUCUGUUUUUUUGUUCAUGUUCGAAGAUUUGAAGCAUCCUCCAAUUUAGAAAAAAAAAACGUGCAAAGAAGUUUCUGGAAGAAGGGGAGGCUCAGAGGACGCGGAGCAUCUCGUCAGCGAAAACUCCCAACGACCCGGAUGCGUACUCCAGAUGCGUUCAAUUCAAUCCAGUGGUCCAUUUCCAAGCUCCAACCAGGCCCAUGGAAACAAGACACGGGCAACUACAGCUGGUAAGGGUAAACGAAAACCAGCAAGAAAUUUCGACUUCGAGCGGUACUUAUCUCUGAACGUGCAUGCAGCAGACGGAGAUACAGUCAAACAAAAGAGGAAAAGGGCAAAAGAAUGAUACCUUGCUUCGCAGGGUAGUAGAAUCCGGGACCAGAUUGGUUGUACAUCCAACUCCAACUGUAAAGACUAGAAGAAGACACAAUUACAAGAGCUUCUUUGCAGAGAACUCUUUGAUAAGGGAGGUAUCGUUCCGUUUCAAAAAAAAAAAAAGACAAGGGAGGUAUCGUUUGUGGGACUCCCUUGAAAUAAAGCUUUCAGCAACAACAACAACAACAAAAAAAACUCCCUUGAAAUAAAGCUUUCAACAAAAGAAGAACUCUUCAGUCAAUCUCAGGAGUUUACAGGUCUCCAGGCCUAACAACUCAUUAGAUCAUGCUUUGCAUUCAGAGGGAGUCGGACCAGAAGGGAAUACUCAAGCUUAGGUAAGACUGAGGUACAAUGAGUGUCAGAUAAAAAGAAAGACUGAGGUACGAUGGACUGGAGACUCACAGGAUCGCGAUCUACAUCAUCGCUCAGAGCGAAUCGCUCUGGCCAUUACUAGGACCACUGGACCAACGAUCCUUUUUUGAGUUGUACAAAGUGGAGCAAGGCAGUGUAUGUCUGUCCAAAGUGGCGACACAGAAGGGUGUUGUAAGGAACAUUACAAGACUGUGAUUCCAAUGCAAAGAUGGAUUUUUGGUUGAAUACUGUAGUGAAAACUUAUAUGAUCCAAAGAAACUACGGAAAUUCGUGCGUGUCAGAAACGUUUGAUGCGCCUGCAUCCAGGAAUACCGGCACACCUUCUCUGGAUUUCUCUUGAGUUUUGGUUUGAUUUUGCUUGCGCUCGAAAUAGUUGGCGUGGCUGAUGAGCGGCAUGCACGAGUCGAGAGCACAGCAUUCUGGUUGCCCUGUUGGUGAAGCGAGGUGUGUGUUCUGCACAAGUGCGGCAUCAGUACCAGGAAAUUCCCGGAAAAACACUACUACACGAUGCCAUCGAGCUGCCUUCUGUUUUUCCAGCCGCAGUGUUCUUGACUCGAACAGAUUGCAGCUUCCUUCCUUCCAGAACGAUCUUAAUUCAUGUAAAAGUGGAUUGUUUCGAAUGGAGGCGUCCAAGUCGUCGGCUUGGUCGUCGAUUUUCGUUCUGCAGAUACUUCCUCUUGUUUCGAUCAGACAGAAACUCAACUUGGCGGAUCAUCGAGAACAACACCAAUCACGUGUAUGCACUGCUGUUCAAUCAGUACUCCGUACAAGAUUUGUUCGUUAACGCAACACGCUGGCGGAUCGAUGCCUGCCGACACCUAUCAAAUCACGCGUGCACUGCAGUGUUAUUCAAGCACAUGAUUUGUUUGUUAGGUGUGCACGUCAAAUUGAAGGCCCCCCAUGCAUGCAUCCUGGAUCACACGCGCAAUAGUACUACACGAUUGCCUUUCCCCCCUUUGUCUUAUAGCAAAAUCCCACAGAUGCAUAACGUGUUCAUUCCUCUUCCAUUAAUUUUCAGAAGAUUUUUCCUUGCCAGGGCCGGCCAUGAGAUAUCUACAUACUGUAUAUAGGUUCCGUCCAGGCUGCAGAGAAGCAAAGUCAUCAGAGAGGUACUGGAUCACCGGACCAAGCUAAUAAUAGUUGCUUAGCCAUGGUCACGAAGAUUUUUCUUGGUAUUUCCCUUUUCGUGAUAUCCAUCCAACUGGUCGCCGGCGACGACGACGGCAGGCUGAGCAAGGUCGUGCGGCAGGUGCCGGCGAUGUACGUGUUCGGGGAUUCGACGCUGGACGUCGGCAACAACAACUACUUGCCGGGUAACGAUGUCCCCAGGGCCAACAUGCCACCGUACGGCGUGGAUUUCAGAGGCUCCAAGCCCACCGGACGGUUCAGCAAUGGCUACAACAUCGCCGACUCUAUCGGUGCGUACAUAUAUAUACAUGUGUAUAACUGUACAUAUGUAUCCUGUAUUUAUAUGCGCACGUACGCAUGAGGCGUGAGAGACUUAUAUAUUACAGCAUACUGUACAUAUUUUUGCAGCGAGGACGCUGGGACUGAAGGAGAGCCCUCCGGCUUAUCUGUCGCUCGCGCCACGAAGCAGCAUCCGUCUGGUCCUCGCCGCGCUCAGCGAAGGCGUCAGCUACGCGUCGGCUGGAUCCGGCAUACUGGACUCCACUGUAAUCAAGCGAGCUUAAUUGCUUCUCAGCCUAUAAGCACUGUUGUCAAUGUUAAUCACGAUGGUUGAUGCAUCUAUGUCACCAUGUGCAGAACGCUGGGAACAACAUCCCGCUGUCGAAGCAGGUGAGCCACUUGGCUUCCACGAAGCGCAAGAUGGAGGCCACGGUGGGCGCCCGCGCCGUGCGCCGCCUGCUGUCCGGCUCCUUCUUCCUCCUCGGCACCGGCAGCAACGACGUAUCCGUCUUCGCCGCGACCCAGCCGGCGGCCGGUGACGUGGCCGCGUUCUACGCCAGCCUCGUCUCCAACUACUCGGCCGCCAUUACCGUAAGCAUCCAUCCAUCCACGCAGACUCGUACAAUACCAGAUGCAUUCUUAGACUAUUUACGUAUAUACAUACAGGAUUUAUACGAGAUGGGGGCGAGGAAGUUCGCGGUGAUAAACGUGGGCCUGGUGGGCUGCGUGCCAAUGGCGCGGGCGCUGAGCCCAACGGGCUCGUGCAUCGGCGGGCUGAACGACCUCGCCUCGGGCUUCGACGCCGCGCUGGGCCGGCUCCUCGCGAGCCUGGCCGCCGGGCUGCCGGGCCUGUCGUACUCCCUCGCCGACUACCACGGCCUGUCGACGGAGACCUUCGCGAACCCGCAGGCGUCCGGGUACGUGAGCGUCGACAGCGCCUGCUGCGGGAGCGGAAGGCUGGGGGCGGAGAGCGACUGCCUGCCGAAUUCCACGCUGUGCGGCGACCAUGAUAGGUUUGUGUUCUGGGACCGCGGCCACCCUUCCCAGCGGGCCGGCCAGCUCAGUGCCGAAGCUUUCUAUGACGGCCCGGCCCAGUUCACGGCUCCUGUCAGCUUCAGGCAGCUGGCUGACAUGGAUGCUAGCUAUUAGUAGAGGAUUAUUAUUGGUUUUGCAUGUAGUUAUGCUGAGCUACCUUCGAAUAAAAUAUGGUACUUCCCCCCUCUCAUAAUUCUGGUCGAAAUAUUACAUGUAUUUAGUUAUUUUUUAAAAUAAAUAUAUUUAUUUUUGGAUAAAUUUGAGACCGGAAUUAUGAAACGGAGGGAGUACCAAGGAUUGGAUCUUCGAUCUUCCAUGCACUCCCGUCGUAAGAACUUGAGUGAGGAUCCAUCAUGCAUUCUGGCUAAGGAUGUAAUUAAUUAUGAUUUCAAAUUUUCAACAAAUGCAACAACAAGAAUGGUCAUGGACUAUAAAUUAGAGACCAUUUGAAAUCCAUUUUACGCUCAGUUGCCACAAAGGGAUGAUAAAGUAGACCGUAAUCGUGUAGACCAAAUAACCGACCGAGUAAUAUAAUAAGUUCAAACCGACCGAGUACUUAUUUAUUUUUGAAGUUAAACUGUAAGGGUUGCGCGAUUGCAGUCCGACAGUAUAUAGAUAUAUAUAAUUCUACAAAAUGAGACACCAAAGUACGACCUUCGAAGAUCGAACUCUGGUGGGCUGUCAGCAUACCUGGCUAGCUGACCACCUAAACUAUGCUUGGUUCUCGACCUAGUACUUAUUGGAUUACUCGGUGGGUUAAGUGAACUUAUUGGAUUACUCGGUCGGUCAUGUGGUCUACUCGACUACAGCCUAAUUUAAAACUUCCCGCACACCUUGUUUAUGAACCUUGUGCUAGCUGUGGCAUGGCAGUAACUGCAGCUCUGCACGGACCGGAAUCAACUGAAGCUGCAGUUGGUGUAUUGGUCGGACUCGGAGUCAAAUUGAUCCCCGCGUGAUGCAUGGCGCCCGGGGUACAAAUAUGCCGUUGCCAUGCCUGCCCUCGAUCGAAAUCAAAACCGAAAUCGAAGGCUCUCGAACCGGCCCCCGGCCGGCGCUUCGACGUCACCGUUCGGCGGCGAGGCCAUGCCCAUACCCCAACGGCUGGCUGUCGUCGUCAAAACGCCGCCUCCACGGCCGGAACGGCAGCAGCGAGCACCGUGGUCCGACCGCGGCCCUGCCGGCCGACGUCCUCUCGCUGAUCCUGGCGCGCGCGUCGUCGGGCGCCGCUGACGUGGCGGACACGCACGCCGCGCUCAUCUGCCGCCGCCCUCUCGAUACCACACCCGCCUUGCCCUCGGUUUCUUCCACCAGCAACACGAACGCGUCCGCGCCGUCUUCCCCAGCCGCCGGACGACGACCGCGCAGCCCCGCUUUGUGCCCACAGCGUCCGCCUCGCGCCUCCUCCUGGGCCCGGGCUCUCAUCAUCUCGAUCCAGGUCCAGGCCCACCAGGCCUGUUCGACUACGCCCGCCCGGUCGCGUCCCGGAACGGGCGCGUCGUGCUGGCGCUGCGGCGACGGGCUGACGCUCAGCGUGUUGAACCCCAUGACCGGGGACGUGUCCGUGCUCCCCGCGCUCUCGGGCGACGACUGCCCGGGGCAGUGCUACGUGUGCGCCCUGCUCACGAGCGACGACCUCGCCGAUCGAACCACCGGCGCCCGCGGGCUUCUUCUUCCGGGUGCUCCUCGUCUACAACGGCCGGCGCCGCAGCGGCUUCACGGCGCUGCUGGCCUUCUCGUCGGACACCGGCAUGUGGGGCCCGGAAGGCCGGAAGCCGGGGCCCAAGAUGAAUGCCGCCAGGCUGCGCCGGGUAGGCCCCGCGCGCCGUGGCCGUCCGCGGAGUCGUCCAGUAGCGCCACCAUGGACGUGAGCUUCGUGCCCUACAGCACCUCCAGCCUGUACUAUUUCCCGGACUACCGCGUGCUGGGCGUGUCACCGGAUGGGAGCCUCAGCUUCGUCUACGCGACUCUCAAUGGACUCAGCAUCUUUGUCGAGACCCUAGAGCCGCAGGCGGGUCAGUGGGAGACGCGCGAAUGGAUCAAACUGCCCCAGGUCCAGGUGAGCCAUGCGACGACCGCGGUUAAGCUGCGGUGGUUCAACGAGAAGAGCGGCACCGUGCUCUUCACCUUGAGACAGCAAGACGGAGACGACGCCACCAGCGGCGCCUUCCUGUUGAAUAUCGCCACGAGGUCGCUGGAGAAGCUUGCCGGCGGCGUCGAAUGCCAUGGGUGGAGGAACGUUUGCGGAUAUGAGAUGGACCGUGUGGCGCUCAUUGCGUCCACUGCCCGCUUCUGAUCUUCGUACGACACGUACGUACUUUUGGUUCUAGCCAUCGAGAAGAAAACAAGACAUGGAUGUUCAGCAAUUAGUGCUGUUUAACAUAGCUAUAAAGAAUAUGUCAAAUUAUUUUAUUUUGAUAGAAUCUAUCCGAUAAUUACAUAUAAGCUCAUUGACAUAAACUUGAGAGGAGCUGAUCCCAAACGUCACCUCUCGGACCCCAAAAUGUCGCUUGAGAAAACAGCUUAGUUUACAACAACCAUCCACGAAUUCGGAAGCACAAAGGUAGUUUUUUUGAGAGUUCUCCCAAAGGAGGCCCGAGGGGCAAUACACUUGCCGGAGCAAAAUAACCUUCUAGGUAGAAGCUAAGGGAUGCAGCAUAGGUCAUGAUGUAACCACCGAACUGGGGAACACGAUCAACAGAAGGAGGACUGUCAUGGGCAGCCAGAACGCCACAAGACAGCACCAGAGUGCAGUGAGGAUCAAACCAGAUAGCUCAAACAAAACAUGAAAACUACUGGCAAGAGAAACCACAAGCAUCAUCAUUAAGAAGACGCACCAAUGUCAUCUCAUGACAAAAGAUGACGCUGGCUCAUUAAGCAUGAAGAGAUUGCACAAAGUCUUCACCGGAGGGUGGGUUGUCCGAGAGAAGGAAAAGUAGUAAUAUGGUGGUGACAUGCUCUCGAAGAGUGCCACUAGUGUAAAAAUGUCUCCCCAAAGGGGGGGUGAGUUACCCAAUUGAGGAGUGUAAAAGGAGGGCAUAUACGACGACAUAUGAUGACAACAAGGGCAAUCCUGACAGAAGUUUCGAGAUUUGGAGAAGCUAAAUGGAGUUGGAUGAAAUGGGGUGGCGGAUGGAUAUCAGAUCGACCAAAGUUAGCACAACGCACUCUAUCACGGCAUCUCCGGCAGGAGGAAGCCGUCUCCAUGGCAGCCAUCUGCGAAACCAUGGAUCUUGGAAGCACAGCAAUCAAGUUGGUAUAGAGACCUCCAAGUAUAAGCCACGACACCAGGCGUUAAACUAUUGGUGCCGCCACCACAGCUGCCACCUGCAAACCAUGGUUACCGAGGGCAUGGCAGUGCCACAGGCAACGGAGGGAGGGACGAGGAGCAGCAUCACUCUAAUCAAGGUGAACAUCCGGAAAAAUUUGCAAUCUGAGGUGGCAGCGGGUUGGUGGAGUGGGGAGCAAUGAAUGAAGGGGGCGAUACCAGCACUGAAGAUGGCCGAUGAGGAGGCGAAAAUCGGAGUUGGAGGAGCCGUGGAGGGCAGCUUCGGAUCCUGGGACGCGGGCGGAGGCGACGGGCCAGGACUAGGCCGAGCGGCCCGCGGGAGGCGAGACCUGGGCCGGUGUGGAGCCCCAGACGGCGAUGUCAGCGGGCGCUCGGCCGAGCAGACGCCUGAUCUUGCCGUCAGACAAGCCAUCUCGGGAGGGGAGGAGGUGGGUACCGUCGACAGCGAGGUGGGCAGGAGCGGCAGGAGGGAGCAGCGAGUCAGCAGUCCGCCGGAUCUGGCCCGCGCCCGCCGGAUCUACCUUUAUCACGGCGACGACGAGCAUAGGCUACGAGGGAGCUAGGCUAGUCGGAGGCGCGCGGACGUGGCCUUGGCUGAGGACGAUGGCGAGACGACGAUGAGGGGCGGUGCGAACGUGAACCUGCGGCGCAACGCUCUGGAUCAGGAAAGCACCACACAGAGCAGGCCCUUGCACGGGAGAUGGGGUCGAUGGCGAGGCGAGGGGUGGUGAUGGGCGGCGCAGAUGAGGACCCGCGGCGCAGCAUUCCGGAUCUGGACGGGCACGCUGCUCGCCGAAUCCGGCCACCGCAGGCAGGGGGACGAGGCCCGGAAAGCACCUAGGGCCGCAGCCUCGCAGAGCAGGGCGCUCGCAUGGGACAAGCGGCAGCAGCAGCCCCGCCGCCACCAUCCUCGUCCGCUGCGCGAUUUCCGGCGACCAACUCUGAUGGCGACGAGGGGAAGCAGGUGGAGGGAGGCGGCGCUCGGAGGGAAACCUAGUCGCCCCCGAGUCGCUCUCGGGAGGACGACGCGAGGGACGCGUUUUUCCACAAAGGUAUUUAUAUGAGUUGCAUCUGACUAACUGCUUGACAUUAAUAGUUUAUCACAACACAAAUACAUACAAACAGCAAGAACCUUCUUAAAGACUUUCCAGAUCGGAUGAAAUGCGGAUCACUUACUAAUCAAAUACACAGCUGAACUAUCAUGAUGUACUAUAUGCCAAAUAAUCCUAUGCGAUUUGGAAUGAAGAAGAUUGCCGUGAUGAUCAACAAUAUUAACAACAUGAGGUUCAAUACACGAGUAAUUUACAAAAAUCACUGCACAGUAGCUACCAUCAGUCAGUGGCGGAGCCAGGAUUUUGUCAAGACCAGGACAGUUGCUCCCAAUCGCUAGAAUUAGCAAGUAAGACCCAGACCAAAUCGUGAAAUCAUCAAAAUUACCAAAGGAAAAAGCUUCUACGCCCUGGGCCGCGGUCUCCGCCCCUGCCGUCAGGAGCAUUUCUUGAAAACGGGAAACUUGCUUUAAGACAUGAACAAUAAAUUUAAGCACAAAUAAAAAGCAUGAAGACACAAUUAUCGAAUUGUGAUGUAAAGCUUUGUUUUCUUUUUCUAUAAACCAUUUUAUAUUGAUUUGAAGACAGGUUGUGUUCACAGGAAAUCACAAUGCCGGCACCUUGAUUGGAUGAAAACUUUGUUUCUUUUCUUCUAUAGACCAUUUUAUAUUGAUCCGAGGACAGUGUAAAGCUUUGUUUUCUUUUCUAUAAACCAUUUUAUAUUUAUUUGAGGACUGUGUAAAAGGACUCGAUACAGAAACAUCGGACCCGAGGUUUAGGCAUGGAGGUAACAUUGAACAUAGUACAUACAUUAGUAUUUUAACAGGGUUGUACAACAUCAAUUGGCUUAAAACGAACAGGGCGUAUAGGAGCUUGGCCGCUUGGAAUGGUGGACUCCGGAUAAAGUGGGUUCAGUUGCAGUAUUGAACAGGUUUCAGAGAAUACAACGAAGUUCAUGAAAAGGUUGAAGUGCUUCGGGAGCAAUUCCGCAACAAAAUUGGUCAAAUUAAGGUAGUAACAGCAGGUGAUGCGACUUCUCACUUCACUUCUCAGUUCAAUAAAGCUCCCUUUAUCGGAAAAAAAAACAAAAAUUAACAGAAAGAUACUAAGAUAUCUAUACCAAUAUAUUAAAUUGGAGUAUGUGGUGAUGGUACGAGUGUCGCGGUGCAUCACUUCACCAAAAUUACGAAUCUGCCAUCGCUGUCCCACGUGUCUUUUAAUCCCGGCUCCCGCAGUCCUCAAGCGCAGAAAAAACACGUACCACAAAAAAAAAUACAAACUAACAGAGCCCUCAUCGCGCCUCCUCCUCCUCUCCUACGAAUCUCACCCCCACCCCCUGCCCGAUCCGGAUCUCGCCGCCGCUCUUGGUUGCCUCCACCGGCUCGUGCGUGUCGGCGGCGUUCGUGUGCGGAAGGCGGCUCCGUCACGUGCUCCAACCGCCGCCUCCACCGGCUCUUGCGCGCCGGUGGCUCCCCGCGGGACUUGGACGGCGAUGAGACGAGCCUGAGGCCGGGAUGGCGGUCGCUUCGCACAAGGCAGCAAGGACUGCGUCGGCGCGAGCCAUCGGUGGCCCUCUGCACGGGCAGUGGCACGCGGCAACUAGUGGCCGGACGCGAUGUGUGGCGGCGCGCGGGCGCGGCGAACGGGCGGACAAGGCUGCGAGAGGGCGCAGGCGGACGGCGCACAGGCGGCAAGUGGGAGCAAACGGCGCAUGGGAGUGGACGGGCAGCGGGAAUCUACGGGUGGAGGCGGGGCGCACAAGCGGACGGCCGUGCAUGGCGACGUGAUGUUCGGUGGCAGGAUGAAUCGGGACGGGGAGAGGAGGAGUUUGCACUCAGUGUGAAUGGAGAGGAUAGUCAGAGAGAGCGAGAAAUUGAGAGAAGAUAUUUGAGAAAUAAAAUACGGAGUAGAAGUAAUAGUAGAGCACAAGGAGAAAUGUAGAAGACAUGUGGAAAAAAAAAAGAAACUAGUGUAUAGCCCACGAAAAUAAAUAUAUCAUAAGCGAUAUAUACAUAUGUACUCAAUUUUCCGUUGUUCCGGACCAACGUACGGUUCUUUUGCUAGUACUACGUAUACAGGAGAUGAUUACCAUACGCAGUUCGAAACUCAUAGACCCCCACCACCAUAUGACACCCUUAACCCCAUCUACUUUCUGCACAUGACAUCUAUGAACUGACCCCAUCUACUUUCUGCACAUAAAAACAAGUGAAGGGGAAACCUGGUAGAAUCAGGCGCUGACCCUUUAUAAUAGCGCCAUUCAAUAAGAUAAACUGAGCUUUGGUUGGAGAAUAAAAUCUGCACAUGACAUCUAUGAACUGUAAGAUAUAAUCAGAAAAUGCUCUCUAACAUAAAACAAAGCAAUAUUGGUUUACAGUAAAACUAUAUCUCUUGACUGAGGAUUCACACUUGACUUCCACAUAUUGUGGGAAAUAGGAAUGAGCCCAGCAAAACAUUCCCGAAACUAAGUCACCUUUAGAUGCCUAUGAUAUAAGUUAUAACACUAAAAAAUGUAUAAGGAAAUAAGGAACCACUCAGAUUUCAGCCUUGAAAGUAAUUACCAUCAUUCAGGCAAGCAAGAAGGCGUCAACAAAAAUAAUACCUGAGCAAUAACCCAGGCAAAGAUCAGAAGCUUUUCCUGUAAAAGAUAUUUACUGUUUCCCACUAUUUGGGCGGUAAGGUGUAUUACGGAGUAGCACCUUUGGCUUCCUUCUUAAAGUCAAGGCAAGCACAACGAAGAUUGCAACCUGACAAAAGCAAUGUUCAGUCACAAACUGACAGUCAAACAUCAACACCAACAAGAAACUGACGUCAUGCAUUAUUGUAAUUACAUGCUCAAUAAUCAAGAGUUAGAGACUUUUAAUGGUCAAAAUACAAGAGUAAAAUCUAUUUUGAACCUUGUCUUUGUAGAGGUUGGCUAAAUCAAACCCUGAACGUGCAAAUCCCCGAAGUUGCCACCCUCACCUCCCUAAUCCCGGUCUAAAAUUGCUUUAAAUGCGUUUAGAAGCCGGGAUCGCUGACGUGGCAGAGCCAAACCCGGGAAUCUUGACUUCUGUUGAGCUCAGUUUCCUCUCAAGUUGUGUCCAUUCAUCUCAAUUUGGUUGCGACUCGUAGCAAAUUCUCCUCUUCUCUGUCUCAUGGUUGUUAACUGUUCAUUCUGAACAACACGGUUGUUGUGGAUAUAUGGAGUGGCAUGAUGGCCCGAUGAUGCCGUUUCUUCGGCAAUUGCUACUCGAUCUAUGCAAUACAAUACAGUAUGGGCUUGUGAUGUUCAAGUUAAUGUGGAGCCAAUUGAAGCACAAAGAGCAAGAAAUGUGGCUGUUGCUGCACUAAGACAGGAGCUUGUUGAGAAGAAUGCAGAGAUUGAAGCUAUUAGGGCUAGAAAUGAGACAGGGGACAGGAAGAUGUAUGAACUUGUUGUGUAUGCAGUCCUGUUUUUUCUUGCUGGUUUAGUGGCAGGAAUUCAGCAUUGAGUUGUAUUGGUGUAUGGAAUUUCUGGAAGAAUGGCAGGAAUUAAUCAGUCAUCUGUAUGUGCCUUUGCUGUGAAAGAACGGCAGAUUCCAUGUGAAUUUUGACAGCACAUACUUGUGUAUUUCCUAUGUAUUUUUACAACACUUUUCUGUAUAUUUUGACAGCAGAAACUGAACUGAAUAAUGCAAAGAAAAGAUCACAGUUUUCUGAACAUUAUGACAGCACAUGUUGACAGGAAGAAAAAACAGACCCGAUCAAUCCAGCGUUCAAUCAUUCCAAAGAGACCACAUGUUGACCGGAAGCACAAACUGGGACUGAAAAUAAGCUGCUGGCGCCACUUUAUGGACCCCUGUUUGGAAAACCCGUUUUAGCAUCUUUAGACCGGGAUUUGGAAGUUUAGGGUGCCAACUUUAGGGAUUUGCAAGUCAGGAUUCCAUCUACAUUUCUACAAAGACAAGGUUUAAAAUAGAAUUUACUCGAUUACCAAUCUAUAUUUUAUCAUAUCCAAGAUCUCUAUGCAAUGCAGAAUGUCAGCAAAUAAAAUAUACAAUUUGCAGAACCUACCUAUUAAAUGAAUGAUGGUUGUUCGAGAACCAGGUCUUUCUACCUGAAUCAGCACUUCAUUGCAACCAAAAUGGUGCUAGAAUCGGUUGACAAGGGUCCAGUAUUGAAACAUAACAUUUGCGAUUAAAAUAUAGUUUGUGUUUUCCUUCAUGAACCUACGAUACAUAUGAUGAACAGGUGAUAGGUAAAGUCAUCAUGGAUUGAAUGCUACCUGGGCUUUGGAGUUCGUUGGACAACCUUCUCCGAAUUUUCCGGUCCCACUGCUUAACCUGACAACUCAGAAAUGAUUUUAUCCAUACACCACAAAACGAAUUCCCCCAGGGCAUUGGGAAAUCUCUGAUUGAUCCAAUCACUCGCCAUCUUGCAAACUGGCUCAGGAAUAUAGCACAAUGGUAUCUGCUCAAUACAUCAUACAACAACCAAUUAGGCGCAUCGCAAAAACAAUUCAAGUAUAAAGCAAGGUAAUUCUCAUUCUUAAAUAUCCUGAUGUAAGGUAAAUGUCAAUCACAAUGGUGAUGCAGAAACACAUGCAAUCUCUGCUAGUCAUUGAAGCAUGCAGGUGAAAGAGCAAUAACUAAAGAUGAGCUUGCAGAUUAUUCAACAAGUGAAGAUGAUCAAGCAUUCAAGCCCAAGAUCAAAAGGCGAGUGAAGGUGAAGCUGGAGGAGGAGGCGAUGGUGGUUUUGAAGUGGAUGAUGGCCUUGGUUUAAGCGACUGAUAAUAUAAUAGUAUGGUGCUGCAGACUGACAUAUAGGUGUUGGGCUGGUGUGCCUUCUUUUGGACAUACAAAUCUAGGCUGCCUCAGAUGAUCAUAAAAUAACUUCAUUUUUCAUAUAGCCAUACACAACUCUGCAUUUGUUACUUAAAGACGACGAACUGAAAAGAUUGUAUGACAGCACGUCCUACACAGUACUUUUCUAAGACAAGUAAGCUUCCUCAAAGUAGCGUUGAAACAAGUCGUUCCGCAAAUAAAAACAACUCAUUAUGCAAAUAAAAGAUUCUGCACAACGAAUACAAAUGAGGUGAACGGGUAGGCCCAUACCUGGAAUUCAAGGCUUACAUUCAACAAUAGUGGACACAAGAGCCUGUUUACCAAUAAGAUGAACAAUUUAUUUUUCGGUAGCAUCAUCACCAACUAAUAUGAUUUGCUCAGCACCAAAGCCAUGCAGGUUACCAUGUUUACAUUUGUUUUCUCCAAAAAUAUUCACAGUUGCAUUUUUGUCAUUACCCGUUUCCAGGACUCCAGCAGCACAGGAAGUUCUCCAUAUACCGGACCAGUCUCUGGAUUAGCUUGUCAACACACUUGAUGGGAAAAAGCACAAGAGGUAAAUGAUACUUUGGGCCAUACAAAGAAUUCCACAAUGCAUGCGAAAAUUUUGGAACAUAUCGGAGAGAUGGCGUAGCUUGUUUUCCAUGUUUAUUUCCUUGCAUGCAUGCUUAAAGUGAUCGAAUAUCUUCAAAUCCCCCUUGCUAUAGUAUGCUCAGUGUCACCGGCAAAAUGGAAGCCCUCCUCAAAAUUUCUACGGACAUACUUAACAAGUGCUAUUUGUGUCAUGGUCAGAUCCUGUACCUCAUCUACGUAAACAAAAUCCACCAUAUCGCCAUUGUGUAGCCCUCAGAAACUAGACUUCCAUGAAGACAAUUCACAAAAUAUUGUCUGCAUGAUAUGCUGGUUACAAAUAAUGCCCGAAAAGAGAUUCUUUGGUUAUUGGGGUUAGACUAUCCUCAAUUGCUCCUAGGUGAUGCACACAAAAUAUUCGACAUACUCUAUCCAAAAGACCCAAACUGGACAUUUUAGUAGCAAAAUGCAUAAAUACCGAUUAACAUGACCAUCCAUACUCACCAAAGAAGACAUCUAAGGUUUCUUUCCCUGGAUACUAAAUAGAAUGCAUAGACAUUGUUCAGUUUCUUUUCAUAAUUAUUAUUAUACAAACUAAUGCAAGUCUUUAUACUCUACUGACCCGUAAAAUAUGUGAUAUAUAUAAUUAUUUCAUUUUCUUUUCUCUAGAAAUCUCUGAUCAGAAGAGAUUAAGUUAAGCCAAUGCUGAUCAAAGUACAGCAUGCAAGAAAAAAAAAACUACAGCAGGUGAAAUGGCAAAGUUAACAGGAUGAUACUAAGAUAUACUACAUAUAUAUAGGAGACGAUUACCAUACGCAGUUCGAAACUCAAGACCGCCACCAUAGUGACAAUAUGAUAUCCUUAUCCCCAUCUACUUCCUGUAGGCUAGCACAGUAACACAAAAAACCGAACCGACCACAGAACACAGCAAAUCCAAGGCAAGCUUCCUAACACUUGAUGAAAAAAAAAAUGAAUGCAGACACCUAGUCGACCUCCUCCAUCUUGCUCUCGCCAGCGUCAUCCUCCAGUGCUGGCAUGUCGGUGUCAUCAGCAUCGGCGGCCUCAUCCUCAUCGAUGCUCAGGCCAAGCUUGAGCAUACGGUGGAUCCUGGUGCCGAAGGUGUUGGGGUCGUCCAGGCUGAAGCCAGAGGUGAGCAGGGAGGUCUCGAACAGCAGCAUCACCAAGUCCUUGACAGACUUGUCAUUCUUGUCAUCAUCCGCCCGCUUGCGCAGCUCCUCCAUGAUGGCGUUCUCCGGGUUGAUCUCCAUUGUCUUCUUGCUUGACAUGUAGCCUCCCAUGCUCGAGUCCCUCAGAGCCUGGGCCUUCAUGAUCCGCUCCAUGUUGGCAGUCCAGCCAUACUCACCAGUGACAAGACAGCACGGCGAGUCAACGACGCGGUCAGAGACAAUGACCUUCUCCACCCUGUCACCGAGCACAUCCUUGAUCACCUUGCAGAGGCCCUCAAACUUCUCCUUGAGCUCCUCCUUCCUCUUCUUCUCAUCCUCACUGUCCUCAAGCUUCAGGCCUUCCUUGGUGGCAGACACAAGCUUCUUUCCCUCGAACUCCUUGAGCUGGCCAAUGGCGUACUCAUCAAUGGCAUCAACCAUGAACAGGACUUCAUAGCCCUUCUUCUUUAGCCUCUCCAAGAAGGGAGAAUUCUCCACAGCCUUCUUGCUCUCGCCGGUGAUGUAGUAGAUGUCGUUCUGGCCCUCCUUCAUCCUGGUCACGUAGUCCUUGAGGCUGGUCAGCUCAUCACCACUCUUGGUGGAGUGGUACCUCAGGAGCUCAGAAAGCUUGGUCCUGUUGGUGGAGUCCUCAUGGACGCCAAGCUUGAGGUUCUUGGAGAAUGCCUCAUAGAACUUGUUGUAGUCCUCCUUGUUCUCAGCAAUCUCAAAGAACAGCUCAAUGGACUUCUUAACAAGGUUCUUCCGGAUGACCUUGAGGAUCUUGUUCUGCUGGAGCGUCUCUCUAGAGAUGUUGAGGGGAAGGUCCUCAGAGUCAACAAUUCCCUUGACAAAGCUCAGCCACUCAGGAAUCAGCUCCUCACAGUUGUCCAUGAUGAAGACACGGCGCACAUAGAGCUUGAUGUUGUUGGCCUUCUUCCUGGUGUCAAAGAGGUCGAAGGGGGCCCUCUUGGGGACAAAGAGAACAGCCUUGAACUCAAGCUGCCCUUCCACAGAGAAGUGCUUGACAGCUAGAUGCUCCUCCCAGUCGUUUGUCAAGCUCUUGUAGAAUGCAGCGUACUCCUCCUUAGUGAUCUCUUCAGGCUUCCUCAUCCAGAUAGGCUUCUGCUUGUUGAUCAGGGACCACUCAUGAGAAACCUCCUUGAUCUUCUUCUUCUUCUUUUCUUUUUCCUCCUUUUCUUCAUCAAUUUCCUCAACCUUGCCCUCCUCACUAUCCUUUUUCUCUUCCUCAUCCUCAUCAUCGGAAAUUUCCUUCUCAGUUGUCUUCUCAGUCCACAGAGAGAUAGGGUAGCUGAUAAACUCAGAGUGUUUCUUCACCAGAUCCUUAAGGCGCCGCUCCUCGAGGUACUCCAACUGCACAGUAGAAGCAAAUUGUUAGGGACAAUUAACACGCCACAAGUUAUCAGUAACAAUAUGAGUAAAGAAGAAUCUGCUGCAGUCUGACCUAUGUGCAGUGAUACUUAAGUUGAGAAAAAACUUGCUCGAUGAAUUAUUUUGAUUAAUUUUACUGAUUCUACAUAGUAAUAGUGAAGCCAACUUGAAAGCAACAACAUUCUCCAAAAAAAAAACUUCACAGCAACAACAAAGCAACAGGAAAUAAUUCCGUUUCAAACUAGGGAUGCAAACGGGACCCUGCAAAGGCCCACUACUAGUUCAAUCGUCAAAUCUCCUAUUCGAAAUUUGAAUGGGAAAUGAAAUUCAAGAAUUGAACGAAACAGGAUCACAUUUGCAUCGCAAUUCAAUACAACAACAAACAAUAAUGCUGAUUAAUUUCAUUCCAAAGGCCAAACAAUAAAUUAACUUAGCAAGUAUAUUCCAUUUCAUUGCAAACAGAUGGCCAUAAAUUCAAAACAUAGACCAUAGCAGGUACCAACAGGGGACUGAACCAACAGGAAAUUCUUAAACCCAAAUUCAACAUUCAACUUCCAUUAAAGCUCACAUUCCAACAGUGAAUUGAGCAUAUGAAGAAGCAGGAAAUUCUUGUACCCAAAUUUGAACAUCCAACUUCAAUUAACCCUCACAUUUUCAGCAUUGAAUUGAGUAUCACUAACAAAGCCAGGGACCAUUUGGUCAUUACAACAACAGUAAUACAACAAGGGAGGGAAAUGAGCAGCACACGAUAAGGAUAUCUCAUGAGAAGUUCUAAUUAGCCACACAAACAAUCAGCACUAUCCAAAUCAAACUAAGCUGCAAACAGGACAUGGCUCAGGUAAAUUGUGCAAGCACUUUAGCUAUUGGCCAGGUAGCUAGUGCAAGCAAAUAUUUAUUUUCUCCUAACAUUACCCAGGUAGCAGGUACAGGUAGUAAAUUAUUAUUCGGUGAGCUAUAUUUUGUUUUACCUGAUCAUCCUUGAGGUAGAGGGUGAUCUUGGUACCCCUUCCAAGGGGCUCUCCAUCAUCACGGGUGACUGUGAAGGACCCACCCGCCUGAGACUCCCACACAUACUGCUCAUCGUCGUUGUGCUUGGUAGUCACAACGACCCUCUCCGCAACAAGGUAAGCAGAGUAGAAGCCAACACCAAACUGACCAAUCAUGGACACAUCAGCACCAGCAGCCAGUGCCUCCAUGAACUCCUUCGUCCCAGACCUUGCAAUUGUACCAAGGUUGUUCACCAAAUCUGACUUUGUCAUACCGAUACCACUGUCGAUGAGCGUGAGUGUGUUCGUGGCCUUGUCAGGGACAAUGUGGAUGAAUAGCUCUGGCUGGGCAUCCAGCUUGCUUUUGUCAGUCAGGCUCUCGAAUCUGAUCUUGUCCAACGCCUGCAGAUUAGAGAAUCCAAUUUAAUUUAGUAAAACUUCAUAAACAGCAUCCACCAUCCAGUGAGUCAACAACGUAAAGUAACUGCUCUGUACUAUAUUGAUGGACUGUUUUCUUUAGAAAUCACAAGUAGAUUACAGAUCCUAUUUACAUUAAUUCUUGAAUUACAAUCCUAUAAUAGCAACUCAUGGUCUGAGUUUAGUUUUAAAAGAUAAUGGCCAACUCCAAACAUUCAAAUCUACCUUGGAAAUUUAAAGGCGAAGAAACAAAUCAUUCUCAGAAUCUAUUAAAAUCUUAAAUCAAACAUAGAUUCAACAUAAUCAGCACAAAGGCAAUAGUCAUGUGAACGUUUAAGCUUCUAUGAUCAAAACCUAGCACACAAGGCAUGAUUGAGCUUGCAACAGAGAGUAAUUGUUUCGAGAGCUAGUACAGGACUCAAAUCAGCUCUCUAAACACGGCUAGUUUCACAAGCGAGAGGCCACAUUGAUAAAAAAAAAUCAUCGCUAUGUUUUAUGCACAGAACUGCUUGCAACAGAGAGUAAUUGUUUCGAGAGCUAGUACAGGACUCCAAUCAGCUCUCUAAACACGGCUAGUUUCACAAGCGAGAGGCCAUAUAGAUAAAAAAAUCAUCGCUAUGUUUAUGCACAGAACUGUACAUUCAUCUAUACAGAUUAAGACGCCCUUUCACUAAUCAGCGAGAAAACAUGUCAGAAUCAGAUGAAACAAACGGAUCUAUUUUUGAUGCGACAAGGGGACAUAGCGCACACGGAUCUAGAGCAGCAAAGGCAAAAUUACAUGGGCGCGUGGAGAGGGCUUACAUCGGAGGAGUUGGAGAUGAGCUCGCGGAGGAAGAUCUCCUUGUUGGAGUAGAAGGUGUUGAUGAUGAGCGAGAGCAGCUGGUUGAUCUCCGCCUGGAAGGCGAAGGUCUCGGUCUCCGAGGCCAUGGCGCC